Molecule: ribosomal RNA, 497 nt
Filed under: Pasteurellaceae bacterium canine oral taxon 080
Lineage: Bacteria; Pseudomonadati; Pseudomonadota; Gammaproteobacteria; Pasteurellales; Pasteurellaceae
Description: bacterial SSU rRNA
Rfam family: Bacterial small subunit ribosomal RNA
Source: RNAcentral
GAGUUUGAUUAUGGCUCAGAUUGAACGCUGGCGGCAGGCUUAACACAUGCAAGUCGAACGGUAGCAGGAGAAAGCUUGCUUUCUUGCUGACGAGUGGCGGACGGGUGAGUAAUGCUUGGGAAUCUGGCUUAUGGAGGGGGAUAACUACUGGAAACGGUAGCUAAUACCGCGUAAUAUCGAGAGAUUAAAGACUGGGACCUACGGGCCAGUUGCCAUAAGAUGAGCCCAAGUGGGAUUAGGUAGUUGGUGGGGUAAAGGCCUACCAAGCCCGCGAUCUCUAGCUGGUCUGAGAGGAUGACCAGCCACACUGGAACUGAGACACGGUCCAGACUCCUACGGGAGGCAGCAGUGGGGAAUAUUGCACAAUGGGGGGAACCCUGAUGCAGCCAUGCCGCGUGAAUGAAGAAGGCCUUCGGGUUGUAAAGUUCUUUCGGUGGUGAGGAAGGUAUCAACUUUAAUAGAGUUGGUAGAAGACGUUAUCCACAGAAGAAGCCCCG